UGAGGCUCGGUAAUUGGAAUGAGUACAGUUUAAAACCCUUUACGAGGAUCUAUUGGAGGGCAAGUCUGGUGCCAGCAGCCGCGGUAAUUCCAGCUCCAAUAGCGUAUAUUAAAGUUGUUGCAGUUAAAAAGCUCGUAGUUGGAU
RNAcentral lists this ribosomal RNA (144 nucleotides) under Cryptosporidium sp. RNAcentral describes it as "partial small subunit ribosomal RNA". It matches the Rfam family "Eukaryotic small subunit ribosomal RNA", at positions 496 to 639 of the family's 1831-position model. The record is from RNAcentral. Lineage: Eukaryota; Apicomplexa; Conoidasida; Eucoccidiorida; Cryptosporidiidae.